RNAcentral lists this long non-coding RNA (451 nucleotides) under Mus spicilegus (steppe mouse). Its description in RNAcentral is "lncRNA (ENSMSIG00000013511.1)". Lineage: Eukaryota; Metazoa; Chordata; Mammalia; Rodentia; Muridae. The record is from RNAcentral.
GUACUGUUACAGCUAGAUCAAAUACGUGUAAAUUACAAUUGAGUAAAUUGUUUAAGACAUUUAAGUACAUUUUAAAAUUUUGCAAACAGGUAAAGCAGCAAGGUGGACAAGAAGCUCUUUUGUGGGAAGUUCUCAGUCAUUGAAUCAGGAAGAAGGCUGGAGGUGGACCUUCGGUGAUAUGGAAUAACCCUCUAGGAUAUCCUCAAAGUAGCAAAUCAAGGCAUCCAUGAAGUGUUUAGUCUUCCUGGUUCCAGUCCGAACAAUGAAUGCAAAUUUCAAGUGAACACAGGCGCACGUGUGCAAUCCACUCAAGUUGCAGGUCUACUGAAGAAAACAAUCAUUGAGCACUGAUGGAGAAUUUUCCAGAAGAUACACAGAGAAGGCUGAGCUGAAGAAGAGCAGGUCCUUGGUUCCAUCCCUCACCCUCUGCCACUGACAGUUACAUCAAAGU